GAUGAACGCUGGCGGCGUGCCUAAUACAUGCAAGUCGAGCGAACGGACGAGAAGCUUGCUUUUCUGAUGUUAGCGGCGGACGGGUGAGUAACACGUGGAUAACCUACCUAUAAGACUGGGAUAACUUCGGGAAACCGGAGCUAAUACCGGAUAAUAUUUUGAACCGCAUGGUUCAAAAGUGAAAGACGGUCUUGCUGUCACUUAUAGAUGGAUCCGCGCUGCAUUAGCUAGUUGGUAAGGUAACGGCUUACCAAGGCAACGAUGCAUAGCCGACCUGAGAGGGUGAUCGGCCACACUGGAACUGAGACACGGUCCAGACUCCUACGGGAGGCAGCAGUAGGGAAUCUUCCGCAAUGGGCGAAAGCCUGACGGAGCAACGCCGCGUGAGUGAUGAAGGUCUUCGGAUCGUAAAACUCUGUUAUUAGGGAAGAACAUAUGUGUAAGUAACUGUGCACAUCUUGACGGUACCUAAUCAGAAAGCCACGGCUAACUACGUGCCAGCAGCCGCGGUAAUACGUAGGAGGCAAGCGUUAUCCGGAAUUAUUGGGCGUAAAGCGCGCGUAGGCGGUUUUUUAAGUCUGAUGUGAAAGCCCACGGCUCAACCGUGGAGGGUCAUUGGAAACUGGAAAACUUGAGUGCAGAAGAGGAAAGUGGAAUUCCAUGUGUAGCGGUGAAAUGCGCAGAGAUAUGGAGGAACACCAGUGGCGAAGGCGACUUUCUGGUCUGUAACUGACGCUGAUGUGCGAAAGCGUGGGGAUCAAACAGGAUUAGAUACCCUGGUAGUCCACGCCGUAAACGAUGAGUGCUAAGUGUUAGGGGGUUUCCGCCCCUUAGUGCUGCAGCUAACGCAUUAAGCACUCCGCCUGGGGAGUACGACCGUAAGGUUGAAACCCAAAGGAAUUGACGGGGACCCGCACAAGCGGUGGAGCAUGUGGUUUAAUUCGAAGCAACGCGAAGAACCUUACCAAAUCUUGACAUCCUUUGACAACUCUAGAGAUAGAGCUUUCCCCUUCGGGGGACAAAGUGACAGGUGGUGCAUGGUUGUCGUCAGCUCGUGUCGUGAGAUGUUGGGUUAAGUCCCGCAACGAGCGCAACCCUUAAGCUUAGUUGCCAUCAUUAAGUUGGGCACUCUAAGUUGACUGCCGGUGACAAACCGGAGGAAGGUGGGGAUGACGUCAAAUCAUCAUGCCCCUUAUGAUUUGGGCUACACACGUGCUACAAUGGACAAUACAAAGGGCAGCGAAACCGCGAGGUCAAGCAAAUCCCAUAAAGUUGUUCUCAGUUCGGAUUGUAGUCUGCAACUCGACUACAUGAAGCUGGAAUCGCUAGUAAUCGUAGAUCAGCAUGCUACGGUGAAUACGUUCCCGGGUCU
This 1372-nucleotide ribosomal RNA is filed under the name uncultured bacterium. RNAcentral's name for it is "bacterial SSU rRNA". It matches the Rfam family "Bacterial small subunit ribosomal RNA", at positions 28 to 1381 of the family's 1533-position model. The record is from RNAcentral.